Molecule: long non-coding RNA, 2963 nt
Organism: Cornus florida
Lineage: Eukaryota; Viridiplantae; Streptophyta; Magnoliopsida; Cornales; Cornaceae
Exons: 6
Source: RefSeq, a predicted model, not a curated record
UUGUUUUCUUUUUACCUCUUUGUUUAUGUGUUGUUGUUGUUUUGCAAAAAAAAUAAAUAAAUAAAUAAAUAAAUAAAAUAAAUAAAAAUAAAAAUCUCGUUUAUAACUUUUUUUUCUCGCUUCUCUCUCUUUGCAGAAGAUGUUCAUAGAAAAUGGCUUUAUCUAUCUCCGAUGAAGAAUACACAUCUUUACGGAUUUCAAGUUGAAGAACCCUCAUUCAAUGGAUUUGGAGGCAUCUCUGACUCUUAUAAAUGCAAAUAGGAUGGUGCUUCUUUAAUCAGAUACCACUCACCAAGGGAUAUCAAGGGGAAGUUAACUUGGGUGCAACUCAAAAAAUUUAUGGAUCCAAGCAAUUUUGCAGUCAAAAUCUAGUGAAGGACAAUGUCUUGAUGUGAAACUUAACAUCCAAGGAGUUCCGGUAACAACAAAUUUCUACCUACUCUCUAUUGGUGGUUAUGAUGCCGUAUUGGGUGCACAAUGGCUCCAAUCAUUGGAGCCCAUAAUAUGGGACUUCUCCAAAAUGUUGAUGCACUUUUCUUAUAAAGGAGAUACAUUCAAGCUUGUUGGUGUCGCUACUAAAGAACUCGUUGUUCUUUCUUGUUGUCAAAUAGAACAUUUUUUUAAACGUCCCUCUCUGGGUCUAUUGUUAUAAGUCUAAGAAGUUUGUGCUGUUACAAAAGUACCUAGCCUUCCGCUAAGCAUUCAAGCCAUUCUCAUUGAGUUCUCUGAUGUGUUCUCUCCACCAUUUGGUCUGCCUCCACUUCAGUCCCAUGAUCAUCACAUCACGCUUCUUCCAGGAUCGUCACCAACUAAUGUCCAACCCUACAGAUAUCCAUUGAUGCAAAAGGCAGAAAUUGAAUGCAUUAUUAGAGAAAUGCUCCAAGAAUGAAUAAUUAGACCAAGCCAUAGUCCAUUUUUAUCCCCUGUUCGGUUAGCUCGCAAGCAUAAUGGUAAUUGGCGGCUAUGUAUUGAUUAUCGGGCUUUAAAUAGUGCAACAGUCAAUGAUUGGUAUCCAAUUCAAGUGGUAGAUGAACUCCUUGAUGAGCUUUAUGGUGCAAUUAUCUUCUCCAAACUUGACUUAUGGUCUGGAUUUCAUCAAAUUCGAGUAGUGGAGGACGACAUUCCUAAAACUGUUUUUCGGAUACAUGACAGCCAUUAUGAAUUUCUUGUGAUGCCUUUUGGCCUCACAAAUGCCUUAUCAAUAUUUCAGAGCCUUAUGAACGAGGUAUUAGGUUUGUUCCUAAGGAAAUUUAUUUUGGUACUUUUUGACGAUAUAUUAGUUUACUGCUCUUCCAAAGCAGACCAUGUCACUCAUCUAAAACAAAUCUUGGAGCUCCUUUAUCAACACAAAUUGCAUGCAAAAUUUUCGAAAUGGUGUUUUGGAUGCUCAGAGGUUAAUUUUCGGGGCAUGUGAUCUCUUUUACUGGUGUUACCGUAGACCAAAAAAAGGUGGACACAAUUCUACAAUGGCCUCUACUAUCAACAUUGAAAUCACUUUGUGGAUCUCUGAGCCUAAUAGGAUAUUACAAAAAGUUUGUUCAAAGGUAUAGAAAGAUUACAGUUCCCCUUACAAAUAUGUUGAAGAAAAGAGCUUUCCAUGGACAGAUAAUUCUAAGGCAGCAUUUGAGUUGCUUAAGCAAGCAUUAACUCGUCCCUAUAUUCUUGCACUUCCAGAUUUCACCAAAAAAAUUGUGAUCGAGUAUGAUGCUUCUAGAGUUGGAAUCAGUGUCGUGUUAAUGCAAUCAGGCCGUCCAAUAGCUUAUUUUAGCCAAGCCUUUCAUGAUUAAUCUAUCUCAUCAUUGGAAUGAAAUGCACGCUCAGGAGGUUAAUGAUUUAUCCAACCUUUCAGAGAAGUUAUUUGAGAAUGCAGAAAGAUUUGGGUUCAAUAGCUCAACUUAUGGUUGCUCUUUUACUGGAGAAGAUAAUAUGGACCCAAUGGUUUAGUUUUAAAGGUUCUCAUACCUUCACAAUUUCAUGCUUUUGGAUAUAUUUUUUGAAGUGCUUCCAAGAACAUCCAUUUUGAUACAAAAAUUUGGAGAAAUUGAUACCCCACAAGUUGUUUUUCCUCUCCUUUUUAUCCCCUUUGUUUUCUUCUGUACUACAUUGUGGUGGCAGAUGUAUUUUUUUUUAAGUUACUUUUUUAAAUCUUUUGAGUCGCUUUUAAUAUAAUUGAGAUUUUGUAAUGCAAGAGUUGGUGAUUAAAUAUUUGAGCCAUUUGGAAAUUCUGUUCUCCAAAAGAGUCUUUGUUAUAUUAUUUAUUUGGUGAAGCUUUGAUUUCCAAAUUGACACUAAAAUAGGAGGUCAGAAUCUAUCCUGAUAAUUGGCUUUUAGUUCAGCAAUUUGUAAUGUAAGGGCUGGAGGUUAAAUAUUUGAGCCAUUUGGAAAUUUUGUUCUCUAAAAGAGUCUUUGUUAUGUUAUUUGGUGAAGCUUUGAUUUCUAAAUUGAUGCCAUAAUAGGAGGUCAGAAUCUAUCCUGACAAUUGGCUUUUAGUUCAGCAAGCUCAAACCAAUCUGUUUGGUUGUUUUUAUCAUAGGAAGCAGAAAGAUGGAAACUUAGUAAACAAUUGAUGAUUCAUACUGGUUGUCUACAACAUUUUAUGCACAACUUAAUUUGAACCAUUGAAGCCUUCUAUACAUAAGUGAUGGUAUUUUGAAUAUAUUACACUUUGGUUAGCAGCUCCUCCCUGUAAAGGAGAAAAUUCCAUUAUAAUAUAGAAAUUUCAGUGAAAAUUUUUGCCGGAUCAGAAAAUAUAGGUUUAAGCAUAGUUUUUAAUAAAGUGACAUUGUUCAAAUUUCAAUAUAAUGAACUUGAAAGCGAAGAUUAGGCCAUGAGCUUAUCAGGUUCGGGACUCGGAUAUAUUCCGAACCAAUGUAUGAUUCAACUAGAGCAAAUUUAUCCCCAAACUUCUAAUAUACCAAAACAAAAAAAUAAAAAAUAAAAAAAAAAAAAAAAAAAAAAAAAAA